Athene cunicularia (burrowing owl) is the source of this 657-nucleotide long non-coding RNA. RefSeq lists it as uncharacterized. Lineage: Eukaryota; Metazoa; Chordata; Aves; Strigiformes; Strigidae. The transcript is spliced from 3 exons. The record is from RefSeq and is a predicted model, not a curated record.
CCUUUUUCCUGCCCAUCUCCAUCAAGCUAUUCAAUGGAGAGGCAGCGAGCAGCAGUGCCUGUCUCUGAACUUACCAGGCAGCAAAGUGGGGAGGCUGCAGCCAGCUCGGGCUGAAUCAGCUCUGUGGGAAGUACCUGAAGCUACCAUCUCCUGUCGUCACAGUCAUCUUAACCAUGCAAAGCAAGUGCUUGUGCACUUCUGAGGCUGAAGAAAUAGUGAUCUUCACUGGAAGUGUACUGCAAUUUACCAAGCAAUACAGUUUUAAGAAAGAUAACUUGAUGGGGAGAGAAGGCAAUGAAGGACUGGCUCCCUGGUUAUGGAAGAGUCUGAUCUUGGUUACCUGAAACCAUCUGGGCAUCCAAACACAACAGGUCUGCAGCAGGAAAGGGGAGGGAGAGCUCAUUUCUUCCCUGGAAUGGAAUGACAUGUCUCAAACUAACACUUGGCCAAGAAGCUUUAUUAUUGUUGGUGUGAUUUCAGAGUUAUAAGGAAAAAGCUCUGAGUGCUGAUGGGGAGGACUUGCACUCUUGCUUCAUGGUGCUUAGAAUUCUAAAAUAAUCCCUUGAAAGAGGAGCACAAUUGCCAUCACAGUUGAAUGUGUUGAUUCUUCUCCCUGCGAAGUCUACAGAGAGCCUUGCUAAAAGGGGGAAAAUUGUC